This 318-nucleotide ribosomal RNA is filed under the name uncultured soil bacterium. RNAcentral's name for it is "bacterial SSU rRNA". It matches the Rfam family "Bacterial small subunit ribosomal RNA", at positions 26 to 337 of the family's 1533-position model. The record is from RNAcentral.
AGGACGAACGCUGGCGGCGUGCUUAACACAUGCAAGUCGAACGAGGUCCAACCAGUCGCAAGACUGGGGAAGACCUAGUGGCGAACGGGUGAGUAACACGUGAGGAACGUGCCCCGGAGACCGGGAUAACAGCGGGAAACCACUGCUAAUACCGGAUACCUUCUUUUGAUCGCAUGGUCAGCUGAAGAAAUGGAUUCCGCUCCGGGAGCGCCUCGCGGUCUAUCAGCUUGUUGGUGGGUAACGGCCCACCAAGGCUUCGACGGAUAGCUGGUCUGAGAGGACGAUCAGCCACACUGGGACUGAGACACGGCCCAGACU